AAGGUUAAUUGAUCUACCACAAAUGAUGUACAAUUUAGAGUUUAGUCCUAGCUAUCAUACUAAAAAUGCACAUUAAAUUUUUCACAUCACACCAUAAGACUUUAGUCAAGAGAACUAAGAAAAGUACUCAUAAUUGUAACUUAAAAACCAAAGGAAAAAACAUGCAAUUUUUUUAUAAGAAAGCAAACAAAAACCAAAACAAAGAAAAACUGAAAACAAAACAAAGAAAACAAAACAAAUAAAU
Molecule: long non-coding RNA, 244 nt
Filed under: Lathyrus oleraceus (garden pea)
Lineage: Eukaryota; Viridiplantae; Streptophyta; Magnoliopsida; Fabales; Fabaceae
Description: Pisum sativum (pea) long non-coding RNA (PSAT_LNC041993)
Source: RNAcentral